This 484-nucleotide ribosomal RNA is filed under the name uncultured bacterium. RNAcentral describes it as "partial 16S ribosomal RNA". It matches the Rfam family "Bacterial small subunit ribosomal RNA", at positions 28 to 523 of the family's 1533-position model. The record is from RNAcentral.
GACGAACGCUGGCGGCGUGCUUAACACAUGCAAGUCGAACGAUGAAGCCGGAGCUUGCUCUGGUGAAUUAGUGGCGAACGGGUGAGUAACACGUGAGUAACCUGCCCUUGACUCUGGGAUAACUGCUAGAAAUGGUAGCUAAUACCGGAUACGACCCUCGGAGGCAUCUUCAGGGGGUGGAAAGAAUUUCGGUCAAGGAUGGACUCGCGGCCUAUCAGCUAGUUGGUGAGGUAAUGGCUCACCAAGGCGACGACGGGUAGCCGGCCUGAGAGGGUGACCGGCCACACUGGGACUGAGACACGGCCCAGACUCCUACGGGAGGCAGCAGUGGGGAAUAUUGCACAAUGGGCGCAAGCCUGAUGCAGCAACGCCGCGUGAGGGAUGACGGCCUUCGGGUUGUAAACCUCUUUUAGUAGGGAAGAAGCGAAAGUGACGGUACCUGCAGAAAAAGCACCGGCUAACUACGUGCCAGCCGCCGCGGUAA